RNAcentral lists this ribosomal RNA (591 nucleotides) under uncultured bacterium. Its description in RNAcentral is "bacterial SSU rRNA". It matches the Rfam family "Bacterial small subunit ribosomal RNA", at positions 903 to 1503 of the family's 1533-position model. The record is from RNAcentral.
AAGGAAUUGACGGGGGCCCGCACUAGGCGGAGGAACAUGUGGUUUAAUUCGAUGAUACGCGAGGAACCUUACCCGGGCUCAAACGACGGAUGGAUGUUUCUGAAAGGAGGCAGUCNUACGGGACAUCCGUCGAGGUGCUGCAUGGUUGUCGUCAGCUCGUGCCGUGAGGUGUCGGCUUAAGUGCCAUAACGAGCGCAACCCCCAUCGCCAGUUACCAGCAAGUAAAGUUGGGGACUCUGGCGAGACUGCCGGCGCAAGUUGUGAGGAAGGCGGGGAUGACGUCAAAUCAGCACGGCCCUUACGUCCGGGGCGACACACGUGUUACAAUGGCAGGUACAGAGAGAAGCGAUGCGGCGACGCAGAGCGGAACUUCAAAGCCUGUCUCAGUUCGGAUUGGAGUCUGCAACCCGACUCCAUGAAGCUGGAUUCGCUAGUAAUCGCGCAUCAGCCACGGCGCGGUGAAUACGUUCCCGGGCCUUGUACACACCGCCCGUCAAGCCAUGGAAGCCGGGAGUGCCUGAAGUGUGCAACCGCAAGGAGCGCCCUAAGGUAAAACCGGUGACUGGGGCUAAGUCGUAACAAGGUAACCGU